GGCGGAAGUGCGUGGAGGAGGAGGCUUCCUCACUUCAAGGUAGCCGGGAAGCAGAGGAAGAGGAAGAGGAGAGGCUGGGGUCCCAGUGUUCUCUUCGGGGACACGGCCCCAUGACCCAACUCCCUUCUAAAGGUUUCCCUACCUCUCAUUAAUGCCACAGGCUGGGGAUGGAGACCCACAGCCCUUCAGAGGACCCUCAAGACCCAAACACUAGUGCCUGUAUGGGGUUCCCUUUAGAGAUGCCCAGGGCUACGCGGGGCCUUGGAACUGCCCUCAGUGGUUUGGAAACAGGUGAGCCUGCACUGGUCCACGCCAACACGACUAAUGGCGAAGGUUACCAGGGUUUGGGUCAACUGUCUGUGGCUGUGAAGAGAAGAAUCACUGUCUUCACCAGGAAACUGGUGAGGGUUUAUUCUUAAUGUGUGUUGCUAAGGACAUGUGUGCAAUAAUUAAUAACGGUGC
RNAcentral lists this long non-coding RNA (462 nucleotides) under Fukomys damarensis (Damara mole-rat). RNAcentral describes it as "lncRNA (ENSFDAG00000029659.1)". Lineage: Eukaryota; Metazoa; Chordata; Mammalia; Rodentia; Bathyergidae. The record is from RNAcentral.